GACAGAGGGUGCAAACGUUGUUCGGAAUUACUGGGCGUAAAGCGUGUGUAGGUGGCCGCGCAAGUCGGAUGUGAAAGCCCUGGGCUCAACUCAGGAAGUGCACCCGAUACUGCGUGGCUCGAGUACCGGAGAGGUUGGUGGAAUUCUCGGUGUAGAGGUGAAAUUCGUAGAUAUCGAGAGGAACACCUGUGGCGAAGGCGGCCAACUGGACGAGUACUGACACUGAGACACGAAAGCGUGGGGAGCAAACAGG
RNAcentral lists this ribosomal RNA (253 nucleotides) under uncultured bacterium. Its description in RNAcentral is "partial 16S ribosomal RNA". It matches the Rfam family "Bacterial small subunit ribosomal RNA", at positions 524 to 776 of the family's 1533-position model. The record is from RNAcentral.